This 490-nucleotide ribosomal RNA is filed under the name uncultured bacterium. Its description in RNAcentral is "partial 16S ribosomal RNA". It matches the Rfam family "Bacterial small subunit ribosomal RNA", at positions 30 to 507 of the family's 1533-position model. The record is from RNAcentral.
AUUGAACGCUGGCGGCAGGCCUAACACAUGCAAGUCGAACGGUAACAGGAAGCAGCUUGCUGCUUCGCUGACGAGUGGCGGACGGGUGAGUAAUGUCUGGGAAGCUGCCUGAUGGAGGGGGAUAACUACUGGAAACGGUAGCUAAUACCGCAUAAUGUCGCAAGACCAAAGAGGGGGACCUUCGGGCCUCUUGCCAUCGGAUGUGCCCAGAUGGGAUUAGCUUGUUGGUGGGGUAACGGCUCACCAAGUCGACGAUCCCUAGCUGGUCUGAGAGGAUGACCAGCCACACUGGAACUGAGACACGGUCCAGACUCCUACGGGAGGCAGCAGUGGGGAAUAUUGCACAAUGGGCGCAAGCCUGAUGCAGCCAUGCCGCGUGUAUGAAGAAGGCCUUCGGGUUGUAAAGUACUUUCAGCGGGGAGGAAGGGAGGAAAGUUAAUACCUGUGCUCAUUGACGUUACCCGCAGAAGAAGCACCGGCUAACUCCGUG